GUCACGAUAGCUCAAGUGGUGGAGUAGCGGCGUAGCAAGCCGAAGGUCGUGGGUUCGAAUCCCGCUCGUGACA
RNAcentral lists this transfer RNA (73 nucleotides) under Cimex lectularius (bed bug). RNAcentral describes it as "tRNA-Ala". It matches the Rfam family "tRNA". Rfam says of the family: Transfer RNA (tRNA) molecules are approximately 80 nucleotides in length. Lineage: Eukaryota; Metazoa; Arthropoda; Insecta; Hemiptera; Cimicidae. The record is from Rfam by way of RNAcentral.